This 941-nucleotide ribosomal RNA is filed under the name uncultured archaeon. Its description in RNAcentral is "bacterial SSU rRNA". It matches the Rfam family "Archaeal small subunit ribosomal RNA", at positions 1 to 922 of the family's 1478-position model. The record is from RNAcentral.
UUCCGGUUGAUCCCGCCGGACCCCACUGCUAUCGGGAUAGGACUAAGACAUGCUAGUCGUGUGCCUCAGCCAAAACGAGGCACGGCGCACAGCUCAGUAACACGUGGCUAACCUGCCCUUAGGACGAGAAUAACCCCGGGAAACUGGGGCUAAUGCUCGAUAGGUGAAGAACUCUGGAAUGAGUCUUCACUUAAAAGAGUCUGCGUUAUGCUCGUAGAUUUCGCUUAAGGAUGGGGCCGCGACCGAUCAGGUUGUUGGUGAGGUAAUGGCUCACCAAGCCUUUUACCGGUGCGGGCCGUGAGAGCGGGAGCCCGGAGAUGGGCACUGAGACAAGGGCCCAGGCCCUACGGGGCGCAGCAGUCGCGAAAACUUUGCAAUACACGAAAGUGUGACAGGGCUAUCCCGAGUGCCAUCCGCUGAGGAAGGCUUUUACCCAGUCUAGAAAGCUGGGGGAAUAAGGAGAGGGCAAGUCUGGUGUCAGCCGCCGCGGUAAUACCAGCUCUCCGAGUGGUGUGGAUGUUUAUUGGGCCUAAAGCAUCCGUAGCUGGCUAAGUUAGUCCCCUGUUAAAUCCAACGAAUUAAUCGUUGGAUCGCGGGGGAUACUGCUUGGCUAGGGGACGAGAGAGGCAGACGGUAUUUCCGGGGUAGGGGUGAAAUCCUAUAAUCCCGGGAAGACCACCAGUGGCGAAGGCUGUCUGCUAGAACGCGCCCGACGGUGAGGGAUGAAAGCUGGGGGAGCGAACCGGAUUAGAUACCCGGGUAGUCCCAGCUGUAAACGAUGCAGGCUAGGUGUUUGGACGGCCACGUGCCGUUCUAGUGCCGCAGGGAAGCUGUUAAGCCUGCCGCCUGGGGAGUACGAUCGCAAGAUUGAAACUUAAAGGAAUUGGCGGGGGAGCACCACAAGGGGUGAAGCUUGCGGUUUAAUUGGAUUCAACGCCGGA